Molecule: ribosomal RNA, 414 nt
Filed under: Leptodactylus rhodomystax
Lineage: Eukaryota; Metazoa; Chordata; Amphibia; Anura; Leptodactylidae
Description: partial 12S ribosomal RNA
Rfam family: Bacterial small subunit ribosomal RNA
Source: RNAcentral
AAACUGGGAUUAGAUACCCCACUAUGCCCGGCCGUAAACUUUAACUUACACCCCCCCCCAUCGCCAGGGAACUACGAGCAAAGCUUAAAACCCAAAGGACUUGACGGUACCCCAAAUCCAUCUAGAGGAGCCUGUUCUUUAAUCGAUAACCCCCGCUUAACCUCACCACUUUUUGCCUAUCAGCCUGUAUACCUCCGUCGUCAGCUUACCACGUGAGCGCCAUCAAGUGAGCUUAAUGUCCACACGCCAAUACGUCAGGUCAAGGUGCAGCUAAUAAAGUGGGAAGAAAUGGGCUACACUCUCUAUACUAGAGGAGACGGAAGGUCAGCUAUGAAACCUGGCCAAAAGGAGGAUUAGCAGUAAAGAGAAAAAAGAGUGUUCUUUUUAACUGGCACGGGGUGUGUACACACCGCC